Long non-coding RNA from Macrobrachium nipponense, 1595 nucleotides. RefSeq lists it as uncharacterized. Lineage: Eukaryota; Metazoa; Arthropoda; Malacostraca; Decapoda; Palaemonidae. The record is from RefSeq and is a predicted model, not a curated record. The transcript has 7 exons.
GCUGAGCAGACGACAAGAAAAAUCACGUUGUUGUUUAUUAGGUAUAUGGUGACUAUAUAGUUCGUGCUUUCGUAAAAGCAGCGUAUUUUGUGUAAUGCAUCGAGGAAUGGAUAAACUACUAUGGACAAGUCCGGUGAAGAAGGGGGGAGAGAAAGCGAGGGCCUGAAAGAGAAAGAGAGAGCACUUGGCAUCCCGAUUUGCAUAAUCUGCCCUAAGGACUAAUCGUGAUGAAGUACCACUUCCGCCCAAAGCCCGCUUGUGUAAAUAUGGUGAUUGAUAUUAUAUGAGUUGAUGUACGCAGCUCUAACCUCGAUAUCCUCCUCGAGCGUGCCCGGAGGCAUUUUCCCUCAGAAGGAGGAGGAGAAGAAGGGGCAUCGAGGGGCAUACUCUGUGUCUGUGAAUACAUAAAUAUUGUGCUCGGUGGAAGUCCCCCAACAACGUGACUGGAAUGCAUUAAACGACUCCUCCUUACCGGGAAUUUAAGGGAGAGUACACGACUCGUCGACAAGUUGUCUCGAGAAAUUUUGAACGAGAUGACAUCGGGGAGACUUUCAAGGGUCAAGAUGACCUCCGGGAAACUUUGACUGGAGGAUGUGACCUCCAGGUAGGUAUCUGGGCCUAUUACACUGCGAGCUACUUUGGUUUUCUCGCAACCAAAGAACUCGUGCAUAAAUCCACACGUGUCAAAAAGGAUAACUCGUGGAGACGCUCGCUAGAAAUUAUGUAUUGAAGAAACUGUUAGCUCCUCUAAGAAGCGCUUGUUCAAAGGACACGUAAUCAACGCCUCCGCUAAUAAGGCCAUAAAUACUGAUUAAAGGGGACCUGGAGUUCGGGGUUCUUUUCCAACGAGGAAAAGAAAAUAGGAUGAAUUGUGAAAAAUGAUCAGGAGAUGCCACCAGACCCACAGCCCACCUCCAUCACCAAACAUUCAGAACCGUUCCGGAUGUCACCACCUUAACUUCAAGCAAAUGGGAAUGGACAUAAACUCUCACUAGUCGUGAUGAUGGAUAAAUAAUACUAGUUGACCGAUUUACUGAGAAAACAGCGUAGCUCAACGAAAUAAGAAUCAUCCAAUGAAGAGAACAGAAGAAUAAAUGGAAAUUUCUUUAUGCGUCUGAGGUGAAGUUAAUGCUGUGGUUCCUAACCCUCAGAGAGUGACUGAUCAGAUGUUUAAACUAAGGGUAUCCCAAAAUAUUGUUUUUAGUGGAAAAGGACUUUGGCAAAUGGGGGAAACUAUUAUCGCUACCUUUUAGUACUUCUCUUCGUCUCCAACUCACGUCAAGCAGUUCCACUGAAAUGGCUGACAGAGGAAACAUCAGUCAACCGAAUUUACACAAAUGUGAACAAGAAAGAAAUACCUGAUGAUCCAGAUGGCACAUGUAUUAUAAUGAGACUACGUCCUGCCUUGACACACAAAAAGAAGGGUGGACUUUAAACAUUACGUAAAGGUUUGUGGAAUAAGAAAAACUCUUAGUAGUGCUACUAUUUUUCAUUUUCAGCAAACCGUGUGAAUUUCUGGAGGAUUCCUUUCUUAAGUACUUGUGUGAAUUAAAACUUAUUUUUUAACUUAUUUAUAUUUACAAAUGCAUUACAAC